UGACGUCGGCGGCAGCCUCCCUGUGGCCGAAGGGGCUGCGGACGCGGCAAGUGUACCGGGCGUGGUCGCUGCGCACAGGGCGCACGAUGAGCAGCUGGUCGCAGGGCGCGUCCGUCCCGGCUCCAGCUCAGCUCCCCGCGACCUGGCCCCCACCCCAGGCAGCGCAGCCGGAGCUCGGCCGCCCCCUCCUCUGUCUCUGGAGCCUUGGGCUGAACCGACAGCUGGGGUAGGGGCUCUGGG
This 240-nucleotide long non-coding RNA is filed under the name Homo sapiens (human). Its description in RNAcentral is "HSALNT0261711". The record is from RNAcentral. Lineage: Eukaryota; Metazoa; Chordata; Mammalia; Primates; Hominidae.